RNAcentral lists this ribosomal RNA (1442 nucleotides) under Phocaeicola vulgatus. RNAcentral describes it as "bacterial SSU rRNA". It matches the Rfam family "Bacterial small subunit ribosomal RNA". The record is from RNAcentral. Lineage: Bacteria; Pseudomonadati; Bacteroidota; Bacteroidia; Bacteroidales; Bacteroidaceae.
UUUUACAAUGAAGAGUUUGAUCCUGGCUCAGGAUGAACGCUAGCUACAGGCUUAACACAUGCAAGUCGAGGGGCAGCAUGGUCUUAGCUUGCUAAGGCCGAUGGCGACCGGCGCACGGGUGAGUAACACGUAUCCAACCUGCCGUCUACUCUUGGACAGCCUUCUGAAAGGAAGAUUAAUACAAGAUGGCAUCAUGAGUCCGCAUGUUCACAUGAUUAAAGGUAUUCCGGUAGACGAUGGGGAUGCGUUCCAUUAGAUAGUAGGCGGGGUAACGGCCCACCUAGUCUUCGAUGGAUAGGGGUUCUGAGAGGAAGGUCCCCCACAUUGGAACUGAGACACGGUCCAAACUCCUACGGGAGGCAGCAGUGAGGAAUAUUGGUCAAUGGGCGAGAGCCUGAACCAGCCAAGUAGCGUGAAGGAUGACUGCCCUAUGGGUUGUAAACUUCUUUUAUAAAGGAAUAAAGUCGGGUAUGGAUACCCGUUUGCAUGUACUUUAUGAAUAAGGAUCGGCUAACUCCGUGCCAGCAGCCGCGGUAAUACGGAGGAUCCGAGCGUUAUCCGGAUUUAUUGGGUUUAAAGGGAGCGUAGAUGGAUGUUUAAGUCAGUUGUGAAAGUUUGCGGCUCAACCGUAAAAUUGCAGUUGAUACUGGAUAUCUUGAGUGCAGUUGAGGCAGGCGGAAUUCGUGGUGUAGCGGUGAAAUGCUUAGAUAUCACGAAGAACUCCGAUUGCGAAGGCAGCCUGCUAAGCUGCAACUGACAUUGAGGCUCGAAAGUGUGGGUAUCAAACAGGAUUAGAUACCCUGGUAGUCCACACGGUAAACGAUGAAUACUCGCUGUUUGCGAUAUACAGCAAGCGGCCAAGCGAAAGCGUUAAGUAUUCCACCUGGGGAGUACGCCGGCAACGGUGAAACUCAAAGGAAUUGACGGGGGCCCGCACAAGCGGAGGAACAUGUGGUUUAAUUCGAUGAUACGCGAGGAACCUUACCCGGGCUUAAAUUGCAGAUGAAUUACGGUGAAAGCCGUAAGCCGCAAGGCAUCUGUGAAGGUGCUGCAUGGUUGUCGUCAGCUCGUGCCGUGAGGUGUCGGCUUAAGUGCCAUAACGAGCGCAACCCUUGUUGUCAGUUACUAACAGGUUCCGCUGAGGACUCUGACAAGACUGCCAUCGUAAGAUGUGAGGAAGGUGGGGAUGACGUCAAAUCAGCACGGCCCUUACGUCCGGGGCUACACACGUGUUACAAUGGGGGGUACAGAGGGCCGCUACCACGCGAGUGGAUGCCAAUCCCCAAAACCUCUCUCAGUUCGGACUGGAGUCUGCAACCCGACUCCACGAAGCUGGAUUCGCUAGUAAUCGCGCAUCAGCCACGGCGCGGUGAAUACGUUCCCGGGCCUUGUACACACCGCCCGUCAAGCCAUGGGAGCCGGGGGUACCUGAAGUGCGUAAC